RNAcentral lists this ribosomal RNA (480 nucleotides) under uncultured bacterium. RNAcentral's name for it is "partial 16S ribosomal RNA". It matches the Rfam family "Bacterial small subunit ribosomal RNA", at positions 29 to 507 of the family's 1533-position model. The record is from RNAcentral.
AUGAGCGCUGGCGGCGUGCUUAACACAUGCCAGUCGAACGAAGCAUUUAAGACAGAUUACUUCGGUUUGAAGUCUUUUAUGACUGAGUGGCGGACGGGUGAGUAACGCGUGGGUAACCUGCCUCAUACAGGGGGAUAGCAGCUGGAAACGGCUGGUAAUACCGCAUAAGCGCACAGUACCACAUGGUACAGUGUGAAAAACUCCGGUGGUAUGAGAUGGACCCGCGUCUGAUUAGCUUGUUGGCGGGGUAACGGCCCACCAAGGCGACGAUCAGUAGCCGACCUGAGAGGGUGACCGGCCACAUUGGGACUGAGACACGGCCCAGACUCCUACGGGAGGCAGCAGUGGGGAAUAUUGCACAAUGGAGGAAACUCUGAUGCAGCGACGCCGCGUGAGUGAAGAAGUAGUUCGCUAUGUAAAGCUCUAUCAGCAGGGAAGAUAGUGACGGUACCUGACUAAGAAGCUCCGGCUAAAUACGUG